CCGGCACGGGCGAGUAACACGUAUCCAACCUGCCGUCUACUCUUGGACAGCCUUCUGAAAGGAAGAUUAAUACAAGAUGGCAUCAUGAGUUCACAUGUUCACAUGAUUAAAGGUAUUCCGGUAGACGAUGGGGAUGCGUUCCAUUAGAUAGUAGGCGGGGUAACGGCCCACCUAGUCUUCGAUGGAUAGGGGUUCUGAGAGGAAGGUCCCCCACAUUGGAACUGAGACACGGUCCAA
RNAcentral lists this ribosomal RNA (237 nucleotides) under uncultured bacterium. RNAcentral's name for it is "partial 16S ribosomal RNA". It matches the Rfam family "Bacterial small subunit ribosomal RNA", at positions 100 to 334 of the family's 1533-position model. The record is from RNAcentral.